GGUUCAUCGAGAGUGGCGGAGGGACUGGCCCGAGGAUGCCACGGCAACCUCUCCGGAGAGGAGAACGGUGCCAAAUCCAGCGGACAUUCGGUCCGAGAGAUGAAGC
RNAcentral lists this non-coding RNA (106 nucleotides) under Symbiobacterium thermophilum. RNAcentral's name for it is "SAM-I sequence". It matches the Rfam family "SAM riboswitch aptamer (S box leader)". From Rfam's summary of the family: The SAM riboswitch is found upstream of a number of genes which code for proteins involved in methionine or cysteine biosynthesis in Gram-positive bacteria. The SAM riboswitch acts at the level of transcription termination control. Lineage: Bacteria; Bacillati; Bacillota; Clostridia; Eubacteriales; Symbiobacteriaceae. The record is from RNAcentral.